Molecule: long non-coding RNA, 313 nt
Filed under: Daucus carota (carrot)
Lineage: Eukaryota; Viridiplantae; Streptophyta; Magnoliopsida; Apiales; Apiaceae
Description: long non-coding RNA (DCAR_LNC000137)
Source: RNAcentral
AUUAUCGGUCUUACUAGUCUAGACGAUUCGUUCCUAACCCAAGUAGUUCGCAUACACUAGAUAGUAAACACGUAGCAAAUAAGAGCAAAAAAAUUAAAACACACAAAAGAAAGGGUGUAAAAGUGAAAGAAAAACCUAAAUCUAGGGUUCCCUAAAAAAAAUGAACUAGACCUUGCUCCUAACGUUAAGGACCACCAAAAACUCGAUAAAUCCAAAAUUAUUCGGACCGGUCUGGCCAGUUUGGAGCAGGCAUUGCCAAGAGGCCAAUCUCCUCGCUUAGACACCAAACCUUAAUCGGCCAGGUAAGCUUUCG